CAAACACAUCCACACGUCUGUUAGUAGCUCAGGAUCCAACAUGCUUUACACAGCGCAGAGCAAGGCAGCAUGGGAUCAACUGAACUUCAUUGAGAUAUCCCGAGGGUUUUAUUGCUCUACGCUUGUCCAAAGGGGACUUCCAGAGUUACUGGUGCCAACGCCACACAGGUGACCUACACGUAUAUGAGUAUGAAAAGUACAUGGUGUGAGUGGAACACAGAGGAGUCCAAGGAGUCCACUGGAAGCCCAGUUCAGAUCUCACCCUACGGAUUAUAACACCCACUCACUAGAGCACAGCCCAUGUCCUCAAUAACCCCAGUUAUAAUAAAACACUCACUCACUACAGCACAGACCAAGAUGGAGAGGGAUGGAGUGCUGCAUCAGAUGACCUGGCCUCCGCAAUCAGCCAACCUCAACCCAUUUGAGAUGGUUUGGGAUGAGUUGGACCGCAGAGUGAAGGAAAAGCAGCCAACAAGUGCUCAGCAUAAUAUGGACCUGAGCCCUAGGACCAUGCCUCAGGACUACCUGGCUUGAUGACUCCUUGCUGUCCCCAGUUCACCUGGCCGUGCUGCUGCUCCAGUUCCAACUGUUCUGCCUGCAGCUAUGGAACCCUGACCUGUUCACCGGACGUGCUACCUGUCCCAGACCUGUUGUCCCAGACCUGCUGGAACCCUGACCUAUUCACCGGACGUCCUACCUGUCCCAGAGUUGCUGUCCCAGACCUGCUGGAACCCUGACCUGUUCACCGGACGUGCUACCUGUCCCAGACCUGCUGUUUUCAACUCUCUAGAGACAGCAGGAGUGGUAGAGAUACUCUCAAAGAUCGGCUAUGAAAAAGCCAACUGACACUUACUCUUGUGUUACUGACUUGUUGCACCCUCGACAACUACUAUGAUUAUUAUUAUUUGACAAUGCUGGUCAUUUAUGAACAUUUGAACAUCUAGGCCAUGUGCUGUUAUAAUCUCCACCCAGCACAGCCAGAAGAGGACUGGCCACCCCUCAUAGCCUGGUUCCUCUCUAGGUUUCUUCCUAGGUUCUGGCCUUUCUAGGGAGUUUUUCCUAGCCACCGUGCUUCUACACCUGCAUUGCUUGCUGUUUGGGGUUUUAGGCUGGGUUUCUGUACAGCACUUUGUGAUAUCAGCUGAUGUAAGAAGGGC
Molecule: long non-coding RNA, 1157 nt
Filed under: Salmo salar (Atlantic salmon)
Lineage: Eukaryota; Metazoa; Chordata; Actinopteri; Salmoniformes; Salmonidae
Description: lncRNA (ENSSSAG00000098309.1)
Source: RNAcentral